Molecule: ribosomal RNA, 420 nt
Filed under: uncultured archaeon
Lineage: Archaea
Description: bacterial SSU rRNA
Rfam family: Archaeal small subunit ribosomal RNA
Source: RNAcentral
CCGUAGCCGGUUGCAUAAGUUUUCGGUUAAAUCUAUGCGCUUAACGUAUAGGCCGCCGAAAAUACUGUGCAGCUAGGGAGUGGGAGAGGUACACGGUACUCGAUAGGAAGGGGUAAAAUCCUUUGAUCUAUUGAUGACCACCUGUGGCGAAGGCGGUGUACCAGAACACGUUCGACGGUGAGGGAUGAAAGCUGGGGGAGCAAACCGGAUUAGAUACCCGGGUAGUCCCAGCUGUAAACGAUGCAGACUCGGUGAUGCAUUGGCUUGUGGCCAAUGCAGUGCCGCAGGGAAGCCGUUAAGUCUGCCGCCUGGGAAGUACGUACGCAAGUAUGAAACUUAAAGGAAUUGGCGGGGGAGCACCACAAGGGGUGAAGCCUGCGGUUCAAUUGGAGUCAACGCCAGAAAUCUUACCUGGGGAGA